This 781-nucleotide unclassified non-coding RNA is filed under the name Hevea brasiliensis (rubber tree). The record is from RNAcentral. Lineage: Eukaryota; Viridiplantae; Streptophyta; Magnoliopsida; Malpighiales; Euphorbiaceae.
UAAAUACCUGCAUGCAAUACUGUAAAAGAGACAGACAAAAAAAGGUGGUUGUGAUUAUAGUGGAAAGACUCUGAAAUUUAAUUCAAUCUUGCUACUUUGCCGUUCUAAGCUUGCAUAAAAUCGAGAAACUUCAGAAACUAGUUUCCUUGAGUAUCUCCAUUGAAGGAGUUUUGGACCCUGAAAUUCUUCAUUUUCAAUCUGUUCAUUACUCUGUGAAACCAUUUUUUUGUUCAGUUUCGUCUUCAUCACCCUAACAUCAGCAUAUUAUUGCCCAAGCUCAAUCUCAUUCCGACCUGGUUACCGUCGCUUGGGCUCAACUACCUUCUGACCUGGUUCUCGUUAUUUCGAAGUAAGCAUUAGUCCCUGGACCAUCAGCUUUCAACUCUACAAUAUUUGUGGUCCCAGAGUUAGUUCAAUAGCCUCAACCUCUCACAGGUAAGUAUCUAGACUGUCACUUUACCGAAUGCUCGUGUUUUAUUUUCUCUGCUUUUAUGCUCGAAAUUUCCAUUAAGUUCAGUUGCACUAAAAAUCCCAACGUAGAUUAUUCAGGCCGAUAGUUAUUUCUUGAGCUUACUUCUUCUAUUCAUUCGUAAACUGUAUUUAUUUCUUCUUAGUUUUCAUUUCCUUUGAAAAUAGGUGUUCUGGUUGUGGGCAACUUGUAGGUAACUUAAAAAAUAUUGGUAGAAGUAUCUUAACAUGAAAGUUUUCGAACAAAUAAAAAUAACAAAAGGUUGAAUAGUAGAUCAGAGGAAAAAGUUAUGAGGUCGGGCUACUAAACGAG